CUCUCUGGGUGACGAGCGGCGGACGGGUGAGUAAUGUCUGGGAAACUGCCUGAUGGAGGGGGAUAACUACUGGAAACGGUAGCUAAUACCGCAUAACGUCGCAAGACCAAAGAGGGGGACCUUCGGGCCUCUUGCCAUCAGAUGUGCCCAGAUGGGAUUAGCUAGUAGGUGGGGUAAUGGCUCACCUAGGCGACGAUCCCUAGCUGGUCUGAGAGGAUGACCAGCCACACUGGAACUGAGACACGGUCCAGACUCCUACGGGAGGCAGCAGUGGGGAAUAUUGCACAAUGGGCGCAAGCCUGAUGCAGCCAUGCCGCGUGUGUGAAGAAGGCCUUCGGGUUGUAAAGCACUUUCAGCGAGGAGGAAGGUGGUGAACUUAAUACGUUCAUCAAUUGACGUUACUCGCAGAAGAAGCACCGGCUAACUCCGUGCCAGCAGCCGCGGUAAUACGGAGGGUGCAAGCGUUAAUCGGAAUUACUGGGCGUAAAGCGCACGCAGGCGGUUUGUUAAGUCAGAUGUGAAAUCCCCGGGCUCAACCUGGGAACUGCAUUUGAAACUGGCAAGCUAGAGUCUCGUAGAGGGGGGUAGAAUUCCAGGUGUAGCGGUGAAAUGCGUAGAGAUCUGGAGGAAUACCGGUGGCGAAGGCGGCCCCCUGGACGAAGACUGACGCUCAGGUGCGAAAGCGUGGGGAGCAAACAGGAUUAGAUACCCUGAUAGUCCACGCUGUAAACGAUGUCGAUUU
This 742-nucleotide ribosomal RNA is filed under the name Serratia sp. (in: enterobacteria). RNAcentral's name for it is "bacterial SSU rRNA". It matches the Rfam family "Bacterial small subunit ribosomal RNA", at positions 80 to 818 of the family's 1533-position model. The record is from RNAcentral. Lineage: Bacteria; Pseudomonadati; Pseudomonadota; Gammaproteobacteria; Enterobacterales; Yersiniaceae.